This 2187-nucleotide long non-coding RNA is filed under the name Triticum aestivum (bread wheat). RNAcentral describes it as "long non-coding RNA (TAES_LNC028357)". The record is from RNAcentral. Lineage: Eukaryota; Viridiplantae; Streptophyta; Magnoliopsida; Poales; Poaceae.
UCCAUAAUAAUUAUCAGUGCAAUUUCUGGCAUGGCCCGAACAUUUUUGUUUAAAUUUUUGAAAACUUUUAUUUCCCACUUUAAAUUUAAUUGAAGUUUGAAUUAGGAGUUUGAAAGAAAUGUGUUUCAAAUUUGAUCAAGCCCUGUUUAGCAACAUGAUUAGCUUAAUCACAGAGAGUUACUGUAGCAUGAUUCUCGGGGUGUUACAAAUAACUUUUGUGAUAGCACAAUAUAAUCAUAUUUACUCCAUUUAAAUGAGCAGGAAACAUAAAUAAUAGACAUUUGGAAAGUACCCCAUAUAAAAAAGUAUUAACUGUUAAUUAAGGUUGCAUCCAAAACAUAAUAUUAAAAAUGAUUAACAUGCAAGAUAUAUUGCAUACUUGGAAUCUACAUAUUUUCUGUGGCAUUUUCAUAUAUAAUAAAUUAUAUUUGAAAUUAGGGUUUAAAAGAUAUGAAUGUUUCAAAAAGCAUUUUGAAUCUGCCUGAAAAAUAAAUAAAUAAAGCCUUAAAACGGAGUAGCGCUGGGCCUAAAAAGGAAGCCCAGGGUCGGAGUUAUAUCCUACACCCAUAAAAAAUCGGAAUUACGGUUUAAGAGAUACAGAUAAUUUAGAAAAUCAUUUGUCUGACUUAAUAUCUUCCAAAAUAAUAUUUAAAAAUACUUAACAGGUAAAAAAUAAUCUCAUAUUCAUAUUCUACAUAUUUUUCUAAUCAAAUUUCAUAUAUAACAAAUAGAGGAACUUUUCUGAAAAAUUCCAUGACGGACGACCAGAAGCACUAUUUGGUUUAUUAUUAGGGGAAGAUAUCUAUGCAAACAUGUCCGUGCGUUGCAACGGGAGAAAAAAAUCACCCCUCAAACACACUCGACGACAUCUGACGGGAAUCAACAUCUCAUAUAGUGCCAAUAAUAACUUUUGUGAUAGCACAAUAUAAUCAUAUUUACUCCAUUUAAAUGAGCAGGAAACAUAUAUAAUAGACAUUUGGAAAGUACCCCAUAUAAAAGAGUAUUAACUGUUAAUUAAGGUUGCAUCCAAAACAUAAUAUUAAAAAUGAUUAACAUGCAAUAUAUAUUGCAUACAUGGAAUCUACAUAUUUUCUGUGGCAUAUUCAUAUAUAAUAAAUUAUAUUUGAAAUUAGGGUUUAAAAGAUAUGAAUGUUUCAAAAAGCAUUUUGAAUCUGCCUGAAAAAACAAAAAUAAAACAUUAAAACGGAGUAGCGCUGGGCCUAAAAGGGAAGCCCAGGGGCGGAGUUAUAUCCUACACCCAUAAAAAAAUCAGAAUUACGGUUUAAAAGAUACAGAUAAUUUAGAAAAUCAUUUGUCUGACUUAAUAUCUCCAAAAUAAUAUUUAAAAAUACUUAACAGGUAAAAAAUAAUCUCAUAUUCAUAUUGUACAUAUUUUUCUAAUUAAAUUUCAUAUAUAACAAAUAGAGGAACUUUUCGGAAAAAUGCCAUGACGGACGACCAAAAGCACUAUUUGGUUUAUUAUUAGGGGAAGAUAUCUAUGCAAACAUGUCCGUUCGUUGCAACGGAAGAAAAAAAAAUCACCCCUCAAACACACUCGACGACAUCUGACGGGAAUCAACAUCUCAUAUAGUGCCAAUAAUAACUUUUGUGAUAGCACAAUAUAAUCAUAUUUACUCCAUUUAAAUGAGCAGGAAACAUAUAUAAUAUACAUUUGGAAAGUACCCCAUAUAAAAAAGUAUUAACUGUUAAUUAAGGUUGCAUCCAAAACAUAAUAUUAAAAAUGAUUAACAUGCAAGAUAUAUUGCAUACUUGGAAUCUACAUAUUUUCUGUUGCAUUUUCAUAUAUAAUAAAUUAUAUUUGAAAUUAGGGUUUAAAAGAUAUGAAUGUUUCAAAAAGCAUUUUGAAUCUGCCUAAAAAACAAAAACAAAACAUUAAAACGGAGUGGCGCUGGGCCUAAAAAGGAAGCCCAGGGUCGGAGUUAUAUCCUACACCCAUAAAAAAUCGGAAUUACGGUUUAAAAGAUACAGAUAAUUUAGAAAAUCAUUUGUCUGACUUAAUAUCUUCCAAAAUAAUAUUUAAAAAUACUAAAUAGGUAAAAAAUAAUCUCAUAUUCAUAUUCUACAUAUUUUUCUAAUCAAAUUUCAUAUAUAACAAAUAGAGGAACUUUUCUGAAAAAUGCCAUGACGGACGACCAGAAGCACUAUUUGGUUUAUUAUUAGGGGAAG